This 253-nucleotide ribosomal RNA is filed under the name uncultured bacterium. Its description in RNAcentral is "partial 16S ribosomal RNA". It matches the Rfam family "Bacterial small subunit ribosomal RNA", at positions 524 to 776 of the family's 1533-position model. The record is from RNAcentral.
UACGGGGGGGGCAAGCGUUGUUCGGAAUUACUGGGCGUAAAGGGCUCGUAGGUGGCCAACUAAGUCAGACGUGAAAUCCCCAGGCUUAACCUGGGAACUGCGUCUGAUACUGGAUGGCUUGAAUUCGGGAGAGGGAUGCAGAAUUCCAGGUGUAGCGGUGAAAUGCGUAGAUAUUCGCAAGAACACCAGUGGCGAAGGCGGCUCACUGGCCCGAUACUGACGCUGAGGCACGAAAGCGUGGGGAGCAAACAGG